Molecule: ribosomal RNA, 399 nt
Filed under: uncultured crenarchaeote
Lineage: Archaea; Thermoproteati; Thermoproteota
Description: bacterial SSU rRNA
Rfam family: Archaeal small subunit ribosomal RNA
Source: RNAcentral
CCCGAGUGGGCGGGACGUUUAUUGGGACUAAAGCAUCCGUAGCCGGUUCUACAAGUCUUCCGUUAAAUCCACCUGCUUAGCACAUGGGCUGCGGAAGAUACUAUAGAGCUAGGAGGCGGGAGAGGCAAGCGGUACUCGAUGGGUAGGGGUAAAAUCCGUUGAUCCAUUGAAGACCACCACUGGCGAAGGCGGCUUGCCACAACGCGCUCUACGGUGAGGGAUGAAAACUGGGGGAGCAAACCGGAUUAUAUACCCGGGUAGUCCCAGCUGUAAACGAUGCAGACUCGGUGAUGAGUUGGCUUAUUGCUAACUCAGUGCCGCAGGGAAGCCGUUAAGUUUGCCGCCUGGGGAGUACGGUCGCAAGACUGAAACUUAAAGGAAUUGGGGGGGGAGCACACA